RNAcentral lists this long non-coding RNA (3024 nucleotides) under Homo sapiens (human). RNAcentral describes it as "PREDICTED lncRNA (TCONS_00201986)". Lineage: Eukaryota; Metazoa; Chordata; Mammalia; Primates; Hominidae. The record is from RNAcentral.
GAGCUGGGAGCCUGUUGGCAGGUCCCUCUUUUUAUUUUCGCUGAGAGCUUUCUUUUACUAAAUGCCACCAUCCUUACCUUUCAAGGUGUCUGCGUGCCUAAUUUUUCCUGGUUGUUAGACAAGAACCCGGAUUUUAGUUGAACUCUGGAGCAAAAAUCCUGCAUCAUUUGUAGGUGGGUGUCAUUGUGACUGGCUGCUACCUCCCCAUGAGUCUUCUAAAAUAAAACCUGCAAAUUCACAUCUUCCCCAUGCUUCCAGAGAAUGCAUAUUCUUCCUUUGAAAAAAGAAAACCAGGUAUGGUUGCAUGUGCUUGUAGUUCUAGCUACUCAGGAGUACUCAGGAGGCUGAGGUAGGAGGAUCACUUAAGCCUAGGAGUUCAAGUCCAAGUCUAACCAAGACAUAUGGAGACACUCUUUCUGGGGAGGGGAGGGAAAAAGAGGGCAACACCUAGGGAAACAGAUUUAGGUAGAGAGGGACAAUAGAAUUCUCAAUUUAUAACAAGGAAAAAAAUGACUACCAGACAUUUGUAAGACGUCAAUAGCACAAAAGAGAAACACAACCAGAUCAUAAUUUUUUGGUCAAAGGUCUAUAAAACGCUGGCUAAUUCUGAGGAUAUGGUGCAAAAAAAUAUGAUUUUGUUAACCACAACAAAAAGAAAGGUAAGAAAUGCUAGGAGAAAGCUAAAAGCUCCAUACUAAAAUAAUGGUCCUAAUAUUAAGCAAAGUAAAAUGUGGUAUGAUUUUGAGUGGUCAGCAGAGUGUAAGAAUAAUCUAUUUGCACUUGAUACUUUCAGCUGUCACAGAGGUCAUAGAAUUGGGCUUAUUGAGAAGGAAAGGUAAAUGCUAGUACACUACUUGGCUCAGAAGUGAACAAAAUUGCAGUUUGCUCAAACAACUCCAUAGGAAAAAGUCUAAUAAUCUGAUGUAAAAAUGGGCAGAAGAUUUGAAUAGAUAUUUCUCAAAAGAAGACAUACGAAUGGCAAACAGACAUAUGAAAAUGUACUCAAAAUCAUUGAUCAUCAGAGAAAUGUAAAUCAAAACUGCAAUGAGAUAUCAUCCGACUCCAGUUAAAAUGGCUUUUAUCCAAAAGUCAGGCAAUAAAAAAUGCUGGUAAGGAUGUAGAGAAAAGGGAACCCUUGUACACUGUUAGUGGGAAUGUAAAUUAAUACAAUCACUAUGGAGAACAGUUUGGAGGAUCCUCAAAAAACUAAAAAUAGAGCUACCAUAUGAUUCAGCAAUCUCACUGCUAGGUAUAUACCCAAAAGUAUAUUGAAGAGACAUCUGCACUCCCAUGUUUGUUGCAGCACUGUUCAUAAUAGCCAAGAUUUGGAAGCCACCUAAGUGUCCAUCAACAGAUGAAUGGAGAAACUGUGGUACAUAUACACAACGGAGUGCUAUUCAGCCAUAAAAAAGAAUGAUACUCUGUCAUCUGCAACAACAUGAAUGGAACUGGAGAUCAUUAUGUUGUUAAAUAAGCCAGACACAGAAAGACAAACAUCACAUAUUUUCACUUAUUUUGGGGAUAUAAAAGUCAAAACAAACUCAUGGAGAUAGAGAACAGAUAGACGGUUACCAGAGGCUAGGAGGAGGAGUGGUGGGGGGCAGUUAGUGAUGGUUAAUUGGUACAAAAAAAUGGUUAGAAAUAAUAAAUAAGACCUAGUAUUAGAUAGGACAACAGGAGGACUAUAGUCAAAAAUAAUUUAUUUGUACAUUUCAAAGUAACUAAAAGAGUGUAAUUGUAUUAUUUGUAGCACAUAGGAUAAAUGCUUGAGGUGACGGAUACCCCAUUUACCCUGAUGUGAUUAUUACACAUCGUAUGCCUGUACCAAAAGAUCUCAUGUACCUCAUAAAUACAUACACCUACUAUAUACCCACACAAAUUAAAAAUUAAAAAAAUUUAAAGAAAUUACAGUUUGUUGGUUUUGAAUAUUUGACCAAAUUUUUUACUAAGCACAGAUAGAUUGAAUAUAAUUUUAUUGUCCUUUUGACAUUAUGAUAAUGAAGGUAUCUACACAGAAGUCUGAGAUGAGAAAAAAAUGAUAUAAUAUCCACCUACUACAUAGUGGGUAGUUUAUAUACUAAAGUUAUUGUUAUGAGAAAGAAUGGCUUAGGAAUAUUAUUUAAAAUUAAUUAAGGGGUGUUAAAAAUAAAAUACCAAGUGUAAAAAUGACAAAGGCAAGAAGAAACAGUAUAUAAUGUGAGUAAAUCUUAAUCUUUCCAAGAGAGGAGACAGUACAUAAUGUCUAAAAUUGUUAAACCAUGAAAUAGAAAUAUAGUUAUUUUAUUCAUAAUUAAGGAGAUAACUACUAUAGCACGAAAUCGUGCCAAAAAUGGUUGCCUCUGGGAAAUGUGAUUAUAGAUAUUAUAAUAUUUUGGACUGUAAAAAUCUGCUUUUAAGACUGAGGAAAUACAAAUAGGACAAUAUUUAUUUGAAAUUUGUAUCCUCAGGGAGUGUAAAGAAAUUAAUGUAUCCACAAAAUAAUAAUAGCUGCUAUUUGAAAACAUAGUUUUCUUGAAAGUUAAAAUAGUAAUAGUCUUCUAAAAAUUUUGUUAGUUUUGGUUUUCUCUUUAAUCUGAGUUAUGUAGAAAAGUGCUUAUUUCAAAUUAGGUAGGCUUGUUUUAUUCCUUUUUCUGUCUUUUUUCUAUCAACUAGUGUUUUAUUGUGUUCAGAAAAUGCCAUGCAUUAAAAGACUACUUUUGAGAAUUUCUAGAGAUUUUCUUUGUUACUAAAGAGAUUUUUGUAAUUGUUACAUGGGAUUUUAAAAAGAAUGUAAAUUAUCCUUUUUGUCAAGUAUAAUGAUUUCUGAAACCUAGCUGUGUCAGAAUACUGUAUAAUACUGUAAUAGUAUGUUGUUUUUGGCUAUGUGUACUUAUUUCUUAGAGUGGUAUGUUAAAGCCUCGACCUUGUGACUUUGUUUAUUUCUCUCUCUACAUCUAAACAUUUCCAAGACAUGUUAUUUGCAAUACCAAGACCAUAACUAUUAUGUAUUUAAUCAAAAUAAAAUAUUUCGGCUCUCUAUAAUUC